This 258-nucleotide long non-coding RNA is filed under the name Homo sapiens (human). RNAcentral's name for it is "non-protein coding lnc-NIPAL2-6:1". The record is from RNAcentral. Lineage: Eukaryota; Metazoa; Chordata; Mammalia; Primates; Hominidae.
GUUCCUGACUGCCCUCCUCUGUUGCUGUGGCAUUCCUGGAAGGCAGUGGAUCUGGAAGCACUGGCGGCCGCGCUGCAGACCAUGAGAACUACUACUGAACAAGCGUGUCCUAUCUGACCACGGGGCAGGAGCACAACCACGCUGUGGUGCACAGGGCUGAGGCCUUCCAUGCCGUGAAGGCAGUCAACACUUCCAAGUUCUGCCCUCAUAGAUUUGUUGUAGACCAGCUAAACCAUCACAAUGUCACCAAGAAACGGC